ACUUAUCUCUAUGACAUCACCAGAUAUUGCUCCUGGUCUCACAGUUAGGCCUUGAAAUCUCUAGGCUGGUAACCUUAUUAUACACUGUACAUCUCCAAGACUUGCUCCACCUCUUCAUCACCAUGAUGGUGGAGUGCUUAGAAAGACGAGAACCCAAUGCUUAACAUCUCCCAGAAGGCUAUCUGGCAACACUGCCCCCAAACAUCCAAAGUGAGCUGCAACCUGAGAUGCUGCAUCAAAACAUGAAGCAAGAUUUUGGAGAGAUGCAUGGCAAAGGGAAGAAAAGAAUGCUCCACCUGGAGAAUGUGGGCAUCGAUCCCACUACCUCUCACAUGCUAAGCGAGCGCUCUACCAUUUGAGCUAAUUCCCCAUCUGCUUGGCUGAAGUCUUCAGCAAUAUCCUGAGUAAAGCCAUCCCAAAGGUU
Anolis carolinensis (green anole) is the source of this 424-nucleotide long non-coding RNA. RefSeq lists it as uncharacterized. Lineage: Eukaryota; Metazoa; Chordata; Lepidosauria; Squamata; Anolidae. The transcript is spliced from 2 exons. The record is from RefSeq and is a predicted model, not a curated record.